Molecule: ribosomal RNA, 256 nt
Filed under: uncultured bacterium
Lineage: Bacteria
Description: partial 16S ribosomal RNA
Rfam family: Bacterial small subunit ribosomal RNA
Source: RNAcentral
UACGUAGGGUGCGAGCGUUUGUCCGGAAUUAUUGGGCGUAAAGAGCUCGUAGGCGGUCUGUCGCGUCGGUCGUGAAAACUUGGGGCUUAACCCUGAGCUUGCGGUCGUACGGGCAUGACUGGAGUUCGGCAGGGGAGACUGGAAUUCCUGGUGUAGCGGUGAAAUGCGCAGAUAUCAGGAGGAACACCGGUGGCGAAGGCGGGUCUCUGGGGCCGAUACUGACGCUGAGGAGCGAAAGCGUGGGGGAGCGAACAGG